This 280-nucleotide ribosomal RNA is filed under the name uncultured bacterium. Its description in RNAcentral is "partial 16S ribosomal RNA". It matches the Rfam family "Bacterial small subunit ribosomal RNA", at positions 336 to 630 of the family's 1533-position model. The record is from RNAcentral.
UUCCUACGGGGGGCAGCAGUGGGGAAUAUUGCACAAUGGGCGAAAGCCUGAUGCAGCAACGCCGCGUGAAGGAAGAAGGGUUUCGGCUCGUAAACUUCUAUCAACAGGGACGAAAGAAAUGACGGUACCUGACUAAGAAGCCCCGGCUAACUACGUGCCAGCAGCCGCGGUAAUACGUAGGGGGCAAGCGUUAUCCGGAUUUACUGGGUGUAAAGGGAGCGUAGACGGCAUGGCAAGUCAGAUGUGAAAGCCCGGGGCUCAACCCCGGGACUGCAUUUGA